RNAcentral lists this ribosomal RNA (478 nucleotides) under uncultured bacterium. RNAcentral's name for it is "partial 16S ribosomal RNA". It matches the Rfam family "Bacterial small subunit ribosomal RNA", at positions 28 to 507 of the family's 1533-position model. The record is from RNAcentral.
GAUGAACGCUGGCGGCGUGCUUAACACAUGCAAGUCGAACGAGAAGUGGAGACGGAAACCUUCGGGCGGAAGACUUUACUUCGAGUGGCGGACGGGUGAGUAACGCGUGGGUAACCUGCCUCAUACAGGGGGAUAACAGUUGGAAACGACUGUUAAUACCGCAUAAGACCACAGCACCGCAUGGUGCGGGGGUAAAAACUCCGGUGGUAUGAGAUGGACCCGCGUUCGAUUAGCCAGUUGGCGGGGUAACGGCCCACCAAAGCGACGAUCGAUAGCCGAUCUGAGAGGAUGCCCGGCCACAUUGGGACUGAGACACGGCCCAAACUCCUACGGGAGGCAGCAGUGGGGAAUAUUGCACAAUGGGGGAAACCCUGAUGCAGCGACGCCGCGUGAGUGAAGAAGUAUUUCGGUAUGUAAAGCUCUAUCAGCAGGGAAGAAAAUGACAGUACCUGAGUAAGAAGCCCCGGCUAACUACGUG